This is a non-coding RNA of Parelaphostrongylus tenuis, 71 nucleotides long. The record is from the annotation of a GenBank genome assembly. Lineage: Eukaryota; Metazoa; Nematoda; Chromadorea; Rhabditida; Metastrongylidae.
GUCUCGGUGAUUUAGUGGUAGCACGCAUUCCCAGUAUGGAUGAAACCCGGGUUCAACUCUCGUCUGAGGUG